RNAcentral lists this unclassified non-coding RNA (164 nucleotides) under soil metagenome. RNAcentral describes it as "partial internal transcribed spacer 1". The record is from RNAcentral.
CGAGAGUGUCACCACUCCCAACCCACUGUUUACCUACCCGUCCACCGUGCUUCGGCAGGCAGUCCUGUGGGACAGGGCCUCGCCCCCGCGAGGGGGGUGCCUGCCGCUGGCCAACCAAAAAUUCUAGCUGUUUUUGUACCAUCUGAGUCUUCCACAAAUAAACA